This 432-nucleotide ribosomal RNA is filed under the name Giardia duodenalis. RNAcentral's name for it is "SSU rRNA". It matches the Rfam family "Eukaryotic small subunit ribosomal RNA", at positions 419 to 1018 of the family's 1831-position model. The record is from RNAcentral. Lineage: Eukaryota; Fornicata; Diplomonadida; Hexamitidae.
AGGACGGCAGCAGGCGCGGAACUUGCCCAAUGCGCGGCGCGCGAGGCAGCGACGGGGAGCGCGCGAGCGAGGCGGGCCCACAGCCCCCGCCGCGGAGCCGAGGGCAAGGUCUGGUGCCAGCAGCCGCGGUAAUUCCAGCUCGGCGAGCGUCGCGCGGCGCUGCUGCAGUUGAAACGCCCGUAGUUGGCCCCCCGCCGCCACGAGGAAACGGGAGCGCUCCAGGCAGGCCCGUUGGACCCGCCGCGUGGGACCGCGCAGCGGGCGCGGCGCGCCGCGGCAGCCCCGAGGAGAGCGGGCGGGGGCACCGGUACCGGCCGGGGACGGGUGAAACAGGAUGAUCCCGCCGAGACCGCCGGCCGCGCAGGCGCCUGCCAAGACCGCCUCUGUCAAUCAAGGGCGAAGGCCGGGGGCUAGAAGGCGAUCAGACACCAC